RNAcentral lists this ribosomal RNA (471 nucleotides) under uncultured Thiobacillus sp. Its description in RNAcentral is "bacterial SSU rRNA". It matches the Rfam family "Bacterial small subunit ribosomal RNA", at positions 908 to 1382 of the family's 1533-position model. Lineage: Bacteria; Pseudomonadati; Pseudomonadota; Betaproteobacteria; Nitrosomonadales; Thiobacillaceae. The record is from RNAcentral.
AAAUUGACGGGGACCCGCACAAGCGGUGGAUGAUGUGGAUUAAUUCGAUGCAACGCGAAGAACCUUACCUACCCUUGACAUGUCCGGAACUUGCCAGAGAUGGCUUGGUGCCCGAAAGGGAAUCGGAACACAGGUGCUGCAUGGCUGUCGUCAGCUCGUGUCGUGAGAUGUUGGGUUAAGUCCCGCAACGAGCGCAACCCUUAUCAUUAGUUGCUACGCAAGGGCACUCUAAUGAGACUGCCGGUGACAAACCGGAGGAAGGUGGGGAUGACGUCAAGUCCUCAUGGCCCUUAUGGGUAGGGCUUCACACGUCAUACAAUGGUCGGUACAGAGGGUUGCCAAGCCGCGAGGCGGAGCCAAUCCCACAAAGCCGAUCGUAGUCCGGAUUGUUCUCUGCAACUCGAGAGCAUGAAGUCGGAAUCGCUAGUAAUCGCAGGUCAGCAUACUGCGGUGAAUACGUUCCCGGGUCUU